RNAcentral lists this ribosomal RNA (269 nucleotides) under uncultured prokaryote. RNAcentral's name for it is "partial 16S ribosomal RNA". It matches the Rfam family "Bacterial small subunit ribosomal RNA", at positions 524 to 792 of the family's 1533-position model. The record is from RNAcentral.
UACGUAGGUGGCAAGCGUUAUCCGGAAUUAUUGGACGUAAAGAGCGCGCAGGUGGUUGAUUAAGUCUGAUGUGAAAGCCCACGGCUUAACCGUGGAGGGUCAUUGGAAACUGGUCGACUUGAGUGCAGAAGAGGGAAGUGGAAUUCCAUGUGUAGCGGUGAAAUGCGUAGAGAUAUGGAGGAACACCAGUGGCGAAGGCGGCUUCCUGGUCUGUAACUGACACUGAGGCGCGAAAGCGUGGGGAGCAAACAGGAUUAGAUACCCCGGUA